This 400-nucleotide ribosomal RNA is filed under the name uncultured bacterium. RNAcentral's name for it is "bacterial SSU rRNA". It matches the Rfam family "Bacterial small subunit ribosomal RNA", at positions 356 to 773 of the family's 1533-position model. The record is from RNAcentral.
GGGGAAUAUUGCACAAUGGGGGAAACCCUGAUGCAGCGCCGCCGCGUGAGUGAAGAAGUAUUUCGGUAUGUAAAGCUCUAUCAGCAGGGAAGAAAAUGACGGUACCUGACUAAGAAGCCCCGGCUAACUACGUGCCAGCAGCCGCGGUAAUACGUAGGGGGCAAGCGUUAUCCGGAUUUACUGGGUGUAAAGGGAGCGUAGACGGCAUGGCAAGCCAGAUGUGAAAACCCAGGGCUCAACCUUGGGAUUGCAUUUGGAACUGCCAGGCUGGAGUGCAGGAGAGGUAAGCGGAAUUCCUAGUGUAGCGGUGAAAUGCGUAGAUAUUAGGAGGAACACCAGUGGCGAAGGCGGCUUACUGGACUGUAACUGACGUUGAGGCUCGAAAGCGUGGGGAGCAAAC